AGACGGAGUCUCGCUCUGUCGCCCAGGCUGGAGUGCAGUGGGGCGAUCUCGGCUCACUGCAAGUUCAGCCUCCUGGGUUCACGCCAUUCUCCUGCCUCAGCCUCCCAAGUAGCUGGGACUACAGGCGCCCGCCACCACGCCCGGCUAAUUUUUUGUAUUUUUAGUAGAGACGGGGUUUCACCGUGUUAGCCAGGACGGUCUCCAUCUCUUGAUCUCGUGAUCUGCCUGCCUCGGCCUCCCAAAGUGCUGGGAUUACAGGCAUGAACCACUGCGCCCGGCCCAGAUUUCUUUUUAAAAGGCAGUUAGGGAUGGCAGUCUUAAACAAUGAGCUCCCCUAGUGCCCUUCCAAUGGAGAAGCACAACGAGCAUCUAAUUUGUAAAUACCAGGUCUUACACGGUGAGUGGGACUAGGAGAAGGCAUCGACUGCACGCUGGGGUCAGUUGCCUGGGAGCGAAUCCAGCUCCACUCCCUGCUGUGGCCUUGAGCAAGUAGCACUUAACCUCUCUGAGCCUCUUUCUGCAUCUGAAAAAUGGGAUUUGUCGUGACCCCACUCAUAAGGUUGCGAUGGGCAUGUGCCCCCUGAGAAACAUCAGUAAGGUGGCAAGGGUGGCGAAGACGCUGUUCCUCGGGUUUUGUUCCAACGACGAAAGCUAAGUUCAUCAAGCCACAAGAAGAAACCUCAGAUUUUUUUUCCCGCUAGGAAAUGUGAAAAUUGAAGGUUUCCUUUGAAGCCUUGUGGCAGAAGCUUCUGAAAGCCGAGUCACAGAUCUGGCACAGUGCUGUCCCAAACGCCGCUGAUGUGCAAACGGUGGCCCCCGUCCCCGUAGGGAGGCCAGAAUGGGACAGCAGAGAUUGCGGCAGGGUGUCCGGUGAGCAGGGGACCCUCACGGACGGGUCUAGACGCGAGACUAGGAUUUAUUUAUUAAUUCUUUCAACAGCGGCGGUGGAAUCAAGAUGGCCUAGAGGGCGCCAGGGGGCGCUCUGGAGAGGACGGACGGCAGAUCCGAAUGGGCCCCGAGGAGGGCGGCGCCCCGGGUCACCCGCGACUUCUGCGGAACCCGCCUUUGCUGCGCAGUUUUCGGGAUUCGCGGGAAGAAGGCGCAGCCUCCCAGGCCCAACUCUCUCCCCAGCACUUUCGCGUGGAAAAUCUUCAGGAAAAUGAAAUGUAGCUCCCCGUAUCCCCUCUCCCCAAAGAUGUAAAGGACUCUGGAGCGGGUGCGAGGAGCAGUUCCUGUUUCAUUACGAGCGCCCCCUCUCCAGCCCGGUCAUUGUAGUGCGAACCAGAACAGUCAAAUUAACAGAGGCACUCAGGAGCCUUUUAGUGCUACUGUUCCAGGAACUGAAGAGGCCUCGGUAUGGGAAUCCCCACAGAGUAAUAAACAGCACGUGGUUGGAGCGCCGAGGAGGAGACUCGCUCCACCUGGUGGCGGUGAUGUCCUCUCGCAGGAGGUGGCAGGACACAGAGGCUGGCGGCCACAGACGGGAUCUGUAAUUCAGUGCCCGCCAUCACGCACCUCGGCCUGGCCCUGUGCAGCUUGGAAGCUGGAGACGGAGAAGGUGGAAAAUGAGAGUUCAUGGAGUGUCGGGCCUAAGCUGAAGGAGGCGGCGCUGCACGCACAGACGAAGGAAGGCGGCCCAGGACGGCUGCUUGGUGUAGAGGCCACAGCCCAGCACGGGCGGGGCGGGGCGGAGCGGGAGGAUGGGCGGGAACGGCGCUGGGUGUUCCUGCUUCCUCCUCUAGCUCGCAGCCUUUCAUAGGAAAUUAAACAUUCAGCACCGGA
This 1782-nucleotide long non-coding RNA is filed under the name Pan troglodytes (chimpanzee). RNAcentral's name for it is "lincRNA". Lineage: Eukaryota; Metazoa; Chordata; Mammalia; Primates; Hominidae. The record is from RNAcentral.